This 253-nucleotide ribosomal RNA is filed under the name uncultured bacterium. RNAcentral describes it as "partial 16S ribosomal RNA". It matches the Rfam family "Bacterial small subunit ribosomal RNA", at positions 524 to 776 of the family's 1533-position model. The record is from RNAcentral.
UACAGAGGAGCCAAGCGUUGUCCGGAUUGACUGGGCGUAAAGCGCACGCAGGCGGUCUGGCGCGUGGGGUGUGAAAUCUGGCCGCUUAACGGCCAGGCGCCAUCCCAUACGGCCGGACUGGAGCCUUGCAGAGGUCGGUGGAAUUGCCGGUGUAGUGGUGAAAUGCGUAGAGAUCGGCAGGAACACCCAGGGGGAAGGCAGCUCGCUGGGACGUGACUGACGCUGAGACGCGAAAGCGUGGGGAGCAAACAGG